GCUGGCGGCAUGCCUUACACAUGCAAGUCGAACGGCAGCACGGAGCUUGCUCUGGUGGCGAGUGGCGAACGGGUGAGUAAUAUAUCGGAACGUACCCUGGAGUGGGGGAUAACGUAGCGAAAGUUACGCUAAUACCGCAUACGAUCUAAGGAUGAAAGUGGGGGAUCGCAAGACCUCAUGCUCGUGGAGCGGCCGAUAUCUGAUUAGCUAGUUGGUAGGGUAAAAGCCUACCAAGGCAUCGAUCAGUAGCUGGUCUGAGAGGACGACCAGCCACACUGGAACUGAGACACGGUCCAGACUCCUACGGGAGGCAGCAGUGGGGAAUUUUGGACAAUGGGCGAAAGCCUGAUCCAGCAAUGCCGCGUGAGUGAAGAAGGCCUUCGGGUUGUAAAGCUCUUUUGUCAGGGAAGAAACGGUGAGAGCUAAUAUCUCUUGCUAAUGACGGUACCUGAAGAAUAAGCACCGGCUAACUACGUGCCAGCAGCCGCGGUAAUACGUAGGGUGCAAGCGUUAAUCGGAAUUACUGGGCGUAAAGCGUGCGCAGGCGGUUUUGUAAGUCUGAUGUGAAAUCCCCGGGCUCAACCUGGGAAUUGCAUUGGAGACUGCAAGGCUAGAAUCUGGCAGAGGGGGGUAGAAUUCCACGUGUAGCAGUGAAAUGCGUAGAUAUGUGGAGGAACACCGAUGGCGAAGGCAGCCCCCUGGGUCAAGAUUGACGCUCAUGCACGAAAGCGUGGGGAGCAAACAGGAUUAGAUACCCUGGUAGUCCACGCCCUAAACGAUGUCUACUAGUUGUCGGGUCUUAAUUGACUUGGUAACGCAGCUAACGCGUGAAGUAGACCGCCUGGGGAGUACGGUCGCAAGAUUAAAACUCAAAGGAAUUGACGGGGACCCGCACAAGC
This 899-nucleotide ribosomal RNA is filed under the name Janthinobacterium aquaticum. RNAcentral's name for it is "bacterial SSU rRNA". It matches the Rfam family "Bacterial small subunit ribosomal RNA", at positions 35 to 930 of the family's 1533-position model. Lineage: Bacteria; Pseudomonadati; Pseudomonadota; Betaproteobacteria; Burkholderiales; Oxalobacteraceae. The record is from RNAcentral.